Molecule: ribosomal RNA, 304 nt
Filed under: Klebsiella pneumoniae
Lineage: Bacteria; Pseudomonadati; Pseudomonadota; Gammaproteobacteria; Enterobacterales; Enterobacteriaceae
Description: bacterial SSU rRNA
Rfam family: Bacterial small subunit ribosomal RNA
Source: RNAcentral
AGCGGCGGACGGGUGAGUAAUGUCUGGGAAACUGCCUGAUGGAGGGGGAUAACUACUGGAAACGGUAGCUAAUACCGCAUAACGUCGCAAGACCAAAGUAGGGGACCUUCGGGCCUCAUGCCAUCAGAUGUGCCCAGAUGGGAUUAGCUAGUAGGUGGGGUAACGGCGCACCUAGGCGACGAUCCCUAGCUGGUCUGAGAGGAUGACCAGCCACACUGGAACUGCGACACGGUCCAGACUCCUACGGGAGGCAGCAGUGGGGAAUAUUGCACAAUGGGCGCAAGCCUGAUGCAGCCAUGCCGCG